GACGGAGGAUGCAAGUGUUAUCCGGAAUCACUGGGCGUAAAGCGUCUGUAGGUGGUUUAAAAAGUCUACUGUUAAAAAUUGAAGCUUAACUUCAAAGAUGCCGUAGAAACUUUUAAACUUGAGGAUGGUAGGGGUAGAGGGAAUUUCCAGUGGAGCGGUGAAAUGCGUAGAUCUUGGAAAGACCACCAAUGGCGAAGGCACUCUACUGGGCCAUUACUGACACUGAGAGACGAAAGCUAGGGGAGCGAAUGGG
Molecule: ribosomal RNA, 253 nt
Filed under: uncultured bacterium
Lineage: Bacteria
Description: partial 16S ribosomal RNA
Rfam family: Bacterial small subunit ribosomal RNA
Source: RNAcentral